Molecule: ribosomal RNA, 478 nt
Filed under: uncultured bacterium
Lineage: Bacteria
Description: partial 16S ribosomal RNA
Rfam family: Bacterial small subunit ribosomal RNA
Source: RNAcentral
GACGAACGCUGGCGGCGUGCUUAACACAUGCAAGUCGAACGGUAAGGCCCUUCGGGGUACACGAGUGGCGAACGGGUGAGUAACACGUGGGUGAUCUGCCCUGCACUUCGGGAUAAGCCUGGGAAACUGGGUCUAAUACCGGAUAGGACUCCUGCCUGCAUGGGUGGGGGUGGAAAGCUUUUGCGGUGUGGGAUGGGCCCGCUGCCUAUGAGCUUGUUGGUGGGGUGAUGGCCUACCAAGGCGACGACGGGUAGCCGGCCUGAGAGGGUGACCGGCCACACUGGGACUGAGAUACGGCCCAGACUCCUACGGGAGGCAGCAGUGGGGAAUAUUGCACAAUGGGCGCAAGCCUGAUGCAGCGACGCCGCGUGAGGGAUGACGGCCUUCGGGUUGUAAACCUCUUUCAGCACAGACGAAGCGCAAGUGACGGUAUGUGCAGAAGAAGGACCGGCCAACUACGUGCCAGCAGCCGCCGCAG